Molecule: ribosomal RNA, 998 nt
Filed under: Cordyceps cicadae
Lineage: Eukaryota; Fungi; Ascomycota; Sordariomycetes; Hypocreales; Cordycipitaceae
Description: SSU rRNA
Rfam family: Eukaryotic small subunit ribosomal RNA
Source: RNAcentral
GCAGUUAUAAGCGAAACUGCGAAUGGCUCAUUAUAUAAGUUAUCGUUUAUUUGAUAGUACCUUACUACUUGGAUAACCGUGGUAAUUCUAGAGCUAAUACAUGCUAAAAAUCCCGACUUCGGAAGGGAUGUAUUUAUUAGAUUAAAAACCAAUGCCCUCUGGGCUCCUUGGUGAUUCAUGAUAACUCUUCGAAUCGCACGGCCUUGCGCCGGCGAUGGUUCAUUCAAAUUUCUUCCCUAUCAACUUUCGAUGUUUGGGUAUUGGCCAAACAUGGUUGCAACGGGUAACGGAGGGUUAGGGCUCGACCCCGGAGAAGGAGCCUGAGAAACGGCUACUACAUCCAAGGAAGGCAGCAGGCGCGCAAAUUACCCAAUCCCGAUUCGGGGAGGUAGUGACAAUAAAUACUGAUACAGGGCUCUUUUGGGUCUUGUAAUUGGAAUGAGUACAAUUUAAAUCUCUUAACGAGGAACAAUUGGAGGGCAAGUCUGGUGCCAGCAGCCGCGGUAAUUCCAGCUCCAAUAGCGUAUAUUAAAGUUGUUGUGGUUAAAAAGCUCGUAGUUGAACCUUGGGCCUGGCUGGCCGGUCCGCCUCACCGCGUGCACUGGUCCGGCCGGGCCUUUCCCUCUGUGGAACCCCAUGCCCUUCACUGGGCGUGGCGGGGAAACAGGACGUUUACUUUGAAAAAAUUAGAGUGCUCCAGGCAGGCCUAUGCUCGAAUACAUUAGCAUGGAAUAAUGAAAUAGGACGCGUGGUUCUAUUUUGUUGGUUUCUAGGACCGCCGUAAUGAUUAAUAGGGACAGUCGGGGGCAUCAGUAUUCAAUUGUCAGAGGUGAAAUUCUUGGAUUUAUUGAAGACUAACUACUGCGAAAGCAUUUGCCAAGGAUGUUUUCAUUAAUCAGGAACGAAAGUUAGGGGAUCGAAGACGAUCAGAUACCGUCGUAGUCUUAACCAUAAACUAUGCCGACUAGGGAUCGGACGAUGUUAUUUUUUGACGCGUU